UACCCAUCUAAGGUUGUUGGGAUUACUGAGCCAAUACUUGUAAAGUGUUCAAAAUGCCAGUGCUGUUUAUUGGUUCAGAGCUGGAGAAAACAAGAGUAGACCCGGAUGGAGGGACACAUCCAGGUUCCCCUUUCUCAUUUCAGCUUCUACUUCAGACAGGCUUUUUCCAUUGCCAAAGGCCACUUCAGUCUGAUAUCAUGUCAGUUUAAUGGUAUCAGAAGAAAAGAGAGCAGUGUUUCCCCGUUUUGAUGUAGCACUGUCCUUAUAAAUCCCGAAGAAUGGCUCUGCUUGGCUGAGCUUGGCCAUGAUCACCCAUAGUUUCUCGAGGUGCCAUGAUUGAGAUCGGAGCCACUUGCCUGGAGGAAGGACAGGCUGUUUUCCACAGGGGCGGGAUGUUCUUACCAGAAGGACAGAAGGCAGUUGAGUAACCAGGAUGACAGAUGCUGCUAUGCAAGGGUCGUGGGUGCACCUGGGUUGGCACAGCUUCUGAUCCAGGAGGAUUACAGGAUGAGCUUAUCAUGGAACAUAAGAAAAAUAAAACAGAUGUCAGCCUGUGUAUGAAGAAUUCAUCCACAAGGUUUGCUCACUCUUCAAU
This 595-nucleotide long non-coding RNA is filed under the name Pongo abelii (Sumatran orangutan). RNAcentral describes it as "lincRNA". Lineage: Eukaryota; Metazoa; Chordata; Mammalia; Primates; Hominidae. The record is from RNAcentral.